CUUACUUUCACACUGUGAAGAGUUUAGUCCCUUUUAAAAAUCAAGAGUUUGUUAAGAUGUCUGGAGAGCGCUCUUCUCACUCCACAAAGGGAAUCCACCGAGCAGUUCCCCAGCAUACAGAAACAACAGUAUACAGACCUCACCUGCCAAAACCGUGAGCCACCUGCUCCUCAUUUCUAAACAGUGAAAGCCCUUGAAUUAGCCAAAAGAAACCAGUGUGUGACUUCAAGUCGCAAAGGUCAGGUGCCCCAGUAAGAGUGUGGGAAGCUUGGAGCCGUCCUUGGGCAGGUCCCACCACGGAGCCAUGGGAGGAGGUCCUGGUGUAAGAUGCCUGGCGGGGAAGUGUGAGCCCCCAGAGGUUCGUGGGCUGCAGGAGGUGUUGGAAGGCAAUUGCCCAACAGAGGAAAGGCUAUCAUGCAGCAGCAGCCGUGGACUUCCCUUCCACCUCCUAAUGACCCUACUGCAAAAAGCUCAUGCUAAUGAUGCAAGAAGCUCAAACCAACGUUUGGUUUCAGCUACACGACAAGUCUGCAGGAACCCAGUGAUCCAUAGCUGUAGUGGUAAUAAAGCUGAUAAUUUUUUUAUUUUUUUAUUUUUUUUUAAUAAAUAUUGGCUUUUGUAAAGCUAUGGGCUUGGUUCCAGAGUUACAUGGUGAAAUUCCCAGGUGUUUUCUGUAUCACGUCUGUUCUGGCCUGCAGCAUCCGCUGGGCCCAAGAUGCGUAGCACAAUAUGAGCUCCUGUCAAGUUAAUUUAGCUUUCCGUGUCUGUUUCAGGAAGCAGCCACCCGAAGCAGACUGCUGACUCUCCAUCCCUUUCCACCUGCACUCUCCCACCUCCACCUGCGUGUUCGCACUGAAUAUUGUGCGUUUGAUCAUGCAGCUGUGCAGUGAACGCAGUCAGCCCAUUGAUCCUGCUGAAGUCCACUGCUAUCCUAUAGAAUUUAUUUUUGGCAGGAUCUCUGAGCUGAUCCAUUUUGCCAUGUGAGUGCACCAGCUGAGAUACAAGGCUGGUGAUGGAAAGGUAUGGCUGGGG
This 1032-nucleotide long non-coding RNA is filed under the name Anser brachyrhynchus (Pink-footed goose). RNAcentral's name for it is "lncRNA (ENSABRG00000000042.1)". The record is from RNAcentral. Lineage: Eukaryota; Metazoa; Chordata; Aves; Anseriformes; Anatidae.